UACGUAGGGUCCGAGCGUUGUCCGGAAUUAUUGGGCGUAAAGGGCUCGUAGGCGGUUUGUCGCGUCGGGAGUGAAAACUCAGGGCUCAACCCUGAGCGUGCUUCCGAUACGGGCAUCACUGGAGUUCGGCAGGGGAGACUGGAAUUCCUGGUGUAGCGGUGAAAUGCGCAGAUAUCAGGAGGAACACCGGUGGCGAAGGCGGGUCUCUGGGCCGAUACUGACGCUGAGGAGCGAAAGCGUGGGGAGCAAACAGG
This 254-nucleotide ribosomal RNA is filed under the name uncultured bacterium. Its description in RNAcentral is "partial 16S ribosomal RNA". It matches the Rfam family "Bacterial small subunit ribosomal RNA", at positions 524 to 776 of the family's 1533-position model. The record is from RNAcentral.